GAUGAACGCUGGCGGCGUGCCUAAUACAUGCAAAUAGAACGCUGAAGGAAGGAGCUUGCUCUUUCCGGAUGAGUUGCGAACGGGUGAGUAACGCGUAGGUAACCUGCCUGGUAGCGGGGGAUAACUAUUGGAAACGAUAGCUAAUACCGCAUAACAGUAGAUGUUGCAUGAUAUCUACUUAAAAGGUGCAAUUGCACCACUACCAGAUGGACCUGCGUUGUAUUAGCUAGUUGGUGAGGUAACGGCUCACCAAGGCGACGAUACAUAGCCGACCUGAGAGGGUGAUCGGCCACACUGGGACUGAGACACGGCCCAGACUCCUACGGGAGGCAGCAGUAGGGAAUCUUCGGCAAUGGACGGAAGUCUGACCGAGCAACGCCGCGGGAGUGAAGAAGGUUGUCGGAUCGUAAAGCUCUGUUGUAAGAGAAGAACGAGUGUGAGAGUGGAAAGUUCACACUGUGACGGUAUCUUACCAGAAAGGGACGGCUAACUACGUG
RNAcentral lists this ribosomal RNA (497 nucleotides) under uncultured bacterium. RNAcentral's name for it is "partial 16S ribosomal RNA". It matches the Rfam family "Bacterial small subunit ribosomal RNA", at positions 28 to 507 of the family's 1533-position model. The record is from RNAcentral.